Molecule: ribosomal RNA, 292 nt
Filed under: uncultured microorganism
Description: partial 16S ribosomal RNA
Rfam family: Bacterial small subunit ribosomal RNA
Source: RNAcentral
GUGCCAGCAGCCGCGGUAAUACGUAGGGCGCAAGCGUUAUCCGGAAUUAUUGGGCGUAAAGAGCUCGUAGGCGGUUUGUCGCGUCUGCUGUGAAAUCCCGAGGCUCAACCUCGGGCCUGCAGUGGGUACGGGCGGACUAGAGUGCGGUAGGGGAGAUUGGAAUUCCUGGUGUAGCGGUGGAAUGCGCAGAUGUCAGGAGGAACACCGAUGGCGAAGGCAGGUCUCUGGGCUGUAACUGACGCUGAGGAGCGAAAGCAUGGGGAGCGAACAGGAUUAGAUACCCUGGUAGUCC